This 479-nucleotide ribosomal RNA is filed under the name uncultured bacterium. RNAcentral describes it as "bacterial SSU rRNA". It matches the Rfam family "Bacterial small subunit ribosomal RNA", at positions 38 to 518 of the family's 1533-position model. The record is from RNAcentral.
GGCGGCGUGCUUAACACAUGCAAGUCGAACGGAGGUUAUUUUGAAACUUAGUGAUAGAUAACCUUAGUGGCGGACGGGUGAGUAACGCGUGGAUAACCUGCCUACAUGGCCUGGGACAACACCGGGAAACUGGUGCUAAUACCGGAUACGCUCUUGUAUGCACAUGCAUAUAAGAGGAAAGGAGCAAUCCGCAUAUAGAUGGGUCCGCGUCCCAUUAGCUAGUUGGAGGUGUGAGAGACCCCCAAGGCGACGAUGGGUAGCCGGCCUGAGAGGGUGGACGGCCACACUGGAACUGAGACACGGUCCAGACUCCUACGGGAGGCAGCAGUGGGGAAUCUUCCGCAAUGGGCGAAAAAGCCUGACGGAGCAACGCCGCGUGAGUGAAGAAGGCCUUCGGGUCGUAAAACUCUGUCUUCAGGGAAGUAAAAAAUGACGGUACCUGAGGAGGAAGCCCCGGCUAACUACGUGCCAGCCGCGGC